Molecule: ribosomal RNA, 242 nt
Filed under: Russulales sp. 1 CRJH-2017
Lineage: Eukaryota; Fungi; Basidiomycota; Agaricomycetes; Russulales
Description: partial 28S ribosomal RNA
Rfam family: Eukaryotic large subunit ribosomal RNA
Source: RNAcentral
AUAGCUCAAAUUUAAAAUCUGGCCUUUGGCCCGAAUUGUAGUCUAAAGAGGUGCUAUCUUGAUUUUUGGUGUGCGUACAAGUGUCCUGGAAUGGACCAUCACAGAGGGUGAGAAUCCCGUUUGGAUGCACACGUCAAGUCAUUAUGAGGCACUCUCUAAGAGUCGAGUUGUUUGGGAAUGCAGCUCAAAUUGGGUGGUAAACUUCAUCCAAGGCUAAAUAUUGGCAAGAGACCGAUAGCGAA